This 494-nucleotide ribosomal RNA is filed under the name uncultured bacterium. RNAcentral's name for it is "partial 16S ribosomal RNA". It matches the Rfam family "Bacterial small subunit ribosomal RNA", at positions 28 to 507 of the family's 1533-position model. The record is from RNAcentral.
GACGAACGCUGGCGGCGCGCUUAACACAUGCAAGUCGAACGGAAAGGCCUGCUUUCCCUUGUGGAUUGCGGGUACUCGAGUGGCGAACGGGUGAGUAACACGUGAGUGAUCUGCCCCCAACUUGGGUAUAAGCCUGGGAAACUGGGUCUAAUUCCCGAUAGGACUGCAGGGUGGUGCCUGUGGUGGAAAACGAUUUUCUAGUGGUUGGGGAUGAGCUCGCGGCCUAUCAGCUUGUUGGUGGGGUAAUGGCCUACCAAGGCGGCGACGGGUAGCCGGCCUGGGAGGGUGGACGGCCAGAUUGGGACUGAGGUACGGCCCAGACUCCGACGGGAGGCAGCAGUGGGGAAUAUUGCACAAUGGGCGGAAGCCUGAUGCAGCGACGCCGCGUGGGGGAUGACGGCCUUCGGGUUGUAAACUCCUUUCGACCGCGAGGAAGCCACCUGGUUGGAAGGGUGGUGACGGUAGUGGUAGAAGAAGCACCGGCUAACUACGUG